CUACGGGCGGCUGCAGUGGGGAAUAUUGGACAAUGGGCGAAAGCCUGAUCCAGCAAUACCGCGUGAAUGAUGAAGGCCUUAGGGUUGUAAAAUUCUUUUAGUAGGGAAGAUAAUGACGGUACCUACAGAAAAAGCACCGGCUAACUUCGUGCCAGCAGCCGCGGUAAUACGAAGGGUGCUAGCGUUGUUCGGAAUUAGUGGGCGUAAAGCGUGCGUAGGCGGUUUGGUAAGUCGGCUGUGAAAUCCCAGAGCUCAACUCUGGAAUUGCAGUCGAAACUACCUGACUAGAGUAUGGUAGGGGAUAGUAGAAUUCCUAGUGUAGGGGUGAAAUCCGUAGAUAUUAGGAGGAAUACCAGUGGCGAAGGCGACUAUCUAGGCCAUUACUGACGCUGAGGUACGAAAGCGUGGGGAGCAAACAGGAUUAGAUACCCCCGUAGUC
Molecule: ribosomal RNA, 439 nt
Filed under: uncultured bacterium
Lineage: Bacteria
Description: partial 16S ribosomal RNA
Rfam family: Bacterial small subunit ribosomal RNA
Source: RNAcentral